RNAcentral lists this ribosomal RNA (657 nucleotides) under Colacogloea terpenoidalis. Its description in RNAcentral is "eukaryotic LSU rRNA". The stretch from base 202 to 355 matches the Rfam family "5.8S ribosomal RNA". The record is from RNAcentral. Lineage: Eukaryota; Fungi; Basidiomycota; Microbotryomycetes; Colacogloeaceae.
UCCGUAGGUGAACCUGCGGAAGGAUCAUUAAUGAAUAUUAGGGUGCUCUUUUCAUCAAAGAGGCCUGACCUUCAUUCUUCUACCCUGUGCACUAUUCAAACAUUCGGCAGUUGGUAAUUUGGCUUGUAAAAGAGCCAGACGACUCUGCUGAAUUCACUCUUAAACUCUAAAGUAUAAGAAUGUUACAAAUAAAACAAAUAAAACUUUCAACAACGGAUCUCUUGGCUCUCGCAUCGAUGAAGAACGCAGCGAAAUGCGAUAAGUAAUGUGAAUUGCAGAAUUCAGUGAAUCAUCGAAUCUUUGAACGCACCUUGCGCUCGCUGGUAUUCCGGCGAGCAUGCCUGUUUGAGUGUCAUGAAAACCUCAACCCUUCAAUUCCUUGUUGAAUUGUAAGGUGUUUGGAUUCUGAAUGUUUGCUGGCUUGAAGGGCCCUUGGCUACUUCAAAAGCGAAGCUCAUUCGUAAUACAUUAGCAUCUCAAUUUCGAAUAUUCGGAUUGACUCGGCGUAAUAGACUUUAUUCGCUGAGGACACCUUCACAAGGUGGCCGAAUUUCGAGGUAGAAGCUUCCAAUUCGAUCAAAAGUCACUCUUAGUUUAGACCUCAGAUCAGGCAGGACUACCCGCUGAACUUAAGCAUAUCAAUAAGCGGAGGAAAAG